RNAcentral lists this ribosomal RNA (1432 nucleotides) under Escherichia coli. RNAcentral's name for it is "partial 23S ribosomal RNA". It matches the Rfam family "Bacterial large subunit ribosomal RNA", at positions 1509 to 2916 of the family's 2925-position model. Lineage: Bacteria; Pseudomonadati; Pseudomonadota; Gammaproteobacteria; Enterobacterales; Enterobacteriaceae. The record is from RNAcentral.
GGUUUAAGCGUGUAGGCUGGUUUUCCAGGCAAAUCCGGAAAAUCAAGGCUGAGGCGUGAUGACGAGGCACUACGGUGCUGAAGCAACAAAUGCCCUGCUUCCAGGAAAAGCCUCUAAGCAUCAGGUAACAUCAAAUCGUACCCCAAACCGACACAGGUGGUCAGGUAGAGAAUACCAAGGCGCUUGAGAGAACUCGGGUGAAGGAACUAGGCAAAAUGGUGCCGUAACUUCGGGAGAAGGCACGCUGAUAUGUAGGUGAAGCGACUUGCUCGUGGAGCUGAAAUCAGUCGAAGAUACCAGCUGGCUGCAACUGUUUAUUAAAAACACAGCACUGUGCAAACACGAAAGUGGACGUAUACGGUGUGACGCCUGCCCGGUGCCGGAAGGUUAAUUGAUGGGGUCAGCGCAAGCGAAGCUCUUGAUCGAAGCCCCGGUAAACGGCGGCCGUAACUAUAACGGUCCUAAGGUAGCGAAAUUCCUUGUCGGGUAAGUUCCGACCUGCACGAAUGGCGUAAUGAUGGCCAGGCUGUCUCCACCCGAGACUCAGUGAAAUUGAACUCGCUGUGAAGAUGCAGUGUACCCGCGGCAAGACGGAAAGACCCCGUGAACCUUUACUAUAGCUUGACACUGAACAUUGAGCCUUGAUGUGUAGGAUAGGUGGGAGGCUUUGAAGUGUGGACGCCAGUCUGCAUGGAGCCGACCUUGAAAUACCACCCUUUAAUGUUUGAUGUUCUAACGUGGACCCGUAAUCCGGGUUGCGGACAGUGUCUGGUGGGUAGUUUGACUGGGGCGGUCUCCUCCUAAAGAGUAACGGAGGAGCACGAAGGUUGGCUAAUCCUGGUCGGACAUCAGGAGGUUAGUGCAAUGGCAUAAGCCAGCUUGACUGCGAGCGUGACGGCGCGAGCAGGUGCGAAAGCAGGUCAUAGUGAUCCGGUGGUUCUGAAUGGAAGGGCCAUCGCUCAACGGAUAAAAGGUACUCCGGGGAUAACAGGCUGAUACCGCCCAAGAGUUCAUAUCGACGGCGGUGUUUGGCACCUCGAUGUCGGCUCAUCACAUCCUGGGGCUGAAGUAGGUCCCAAGGGUAUGGCUGUUCGCCAUUUAAAGUGGUACGCGAGCUGGGUUUAGAACGUCGUGAGACAGUUCGGUCCCUAUCUGCCGUGGGCGCUGGAGAAUUGAGGGGGGCUGCUCCUAGUACGAGAGGACCGGAGUGGACGCAUCACUGGUGUUCGGGUUGUCAUGCCAAUGGCACUGCCCGGUAGCUAAAUGCGGAAGAGAUAAGUGCUGAAAGCAUCUAAGCACGAAACUUGCCCCGAGAUGAGUUCUCCCUGACUCCUUGAGAGUCCUGAAGGAACGUUGAAGACGACGACGUUGAUAGGCCGGGUGUGUAAGCGCAGCGAUGCGUUGAGCUAACCGGUACUAAUGAACCGUGAGG